Molecule: ribosomal RNA, 253 nt
Filed under: uncultured bacterium
Lineage: Bacteria
Description: partial 16S ribosomal RNA
Rfam family: Bacterial small subunit ribosomal RNA
Source: RNAcentral
UACAUAGGGGGCGAGCGUUGUUCGGAAUUAUUGGGCGUAAAGGGCGCGUAGGCGGCCCGCUAAGUCGAGCGUGAAAUCCCCAGGCUCAACCUGGGAACUGCGUCCGAUACUGUCAGGCUUGAAUCCGGGAGAGGGAUGUGGAAUUCCAGGUGUAGCGGUGAAAUGCGUAGAUAUCUGGAGGAACACCGGUGGCGAAAGCGGCUUACUGGGUCUCUUCUGACGCUGAGGAACGAAAGCUAGGGUAGCGAACGGG